CCCUUGUUUAAGGAAGCCUUCUAGCUGGACUUUUGUUUCCACAUUUCCCUGUUUUCCUCUCCUUAUCUCAGGAUAUCAGGAUAUCUUAUAUCUUCAUGGGAGGCCUCUGAGCAGAGAAAUCAGCCCAGAGAAGGGAAGUCUGAGGAGCUCCCUUGGAAAGAACUCAUCCAUGAGCAAAGAAGUAACUGGCCUAGGAAGAAAACUGAGUUUAUUUGCCAGAGAUGUUUCAGGAAAACAGACCUGAGCCUGACAAGCAGUCUGGGACUCACCCAGCUGAAGCAGCCAAACUCCGUUGAACCCACAGACCUAUGAACAAGACAUGAUCUUGAGAAAACUUGUCAUAUGCCAGCCGGAUUCUUGGAUUUUAACCGUAGACUUGGCAGUUUGGUCAGAACAUCACCACUACACUGACAUUUGAGAAGAUGUGUAGCUCUUCGAAGACAGAAACCUGAAUCUCCUCCAGUAUUACCAGUCGGUGGAGUCUGAGGCAACAAACAACUGUAUGCCUUUCACCUCACUGAGAGAUCAGAAAAUGUAUCAUUUUUACCUGUAGGAAUUAAUAAGGAACCAAAAUUUCAAAAAAAAAAAAAAGAAAGAAAUUAUUUGGAGAAUGCUAUUAUACCAGUGAAUCCCAAAGACUUCCAAAGAAAUGACAGGUUUGGUGGAAAUUUUCUAGAGCUCACUGCGCAAAAAAUUUAAUUACAGCACCCAUGACCUCUACAUGAUAUGACUCACUACACAAAGUGCCAUAAAACAAUUUUAGAGGGUUUUGGCGCUUCAAAAAAAAAAUUGAAAACUGGUUUAUUAUUUGGGUCUUUAUUGAAGAAAACUGAGAUACUGUUCCUUUAAUAUUGUUUACACUGUGGUCUUUAAGGUAUGAGAGUGGGGGAAGAUGAGAGAAUGAAUGAGGAAGAAAGGACACAUUUUGGUGUGUAAAAUAUGAAAUAGUUGGCUGACAUUUUCAUCUGAUAAACUUUCUUCUUCUGACUUUUCUCUCCCUUAGGACAUGAACUUUCAAACAAAAACAAAAACAAAAACCUUUAUCUCUUAACCUACUGAAGAUAAAAUUUGCUUCCUUUAGAGAGUGUCUCAUAAGGAAAUAGAAGCUAACAUUUAAGUGGUUUUGGAACAAUUGACUCACCACUUAGAAAAAUAAAUUUUAUGCCUGUCCUACAAAAAAAAUGCCUUUUGCUCUGAGGAGAAAGAUUUGUAAAGUUAGGAUCUGCCUAAAUAUAUUGACAAGUGGGUUUCAUUUUAGGCAAAAACAUGUGUAAGCAGUGUUAAUUACCUAAGGCCACAAGUGCCUAUAAAAGUAAAACAAGUACAGAAAUACACUCAGAACACUUUUUUCCCCACUCAAAGUACACAGCAAAUCAUAUUAACAACUAUUUAUUGAAAUGCACUCUGCUUUCCCUGACAGUUUAUACCAAAUAAAACUAACAUUGAGAAAAAAUUAGAAAAGUUUUAAUGAAGUGGAACUAUGACAAUAUCAUGGGUAACAAUAAUAUUUGUAUUCAUAAAUAAAUGCCAUAUUAGUUUCUAGAACUGCCAUAACCCGAUGCCACAAACUAGGUAGCUUAGGGGCACCUGGCUGGGUCAGUCAGUGGAACAUGCAACUCUUGAUCUUAGGGUCAUGAGUUGGAGCCCCACAUUGGGCGUGGUGCCUACUUAAAAAAAAUAUAUAUUACUCCUCAUCAGGAAAAUACAAAUCAAAGCCACAUUGAGAUACCAUCUCACACCAGUCAGAGUAGCUAAAAUGAACAACUCAGGAAACAACAGAUGCUGGUGAGGAUGUGGAGAAACGGGAACCCUCUUGUACUGCUGGUGGGAAUGCAAACUGGUGCAGCCGCUCUGGAAAACAGUGUGGAGGUUCCUCAAAAAAAGUAAAAAUAGAACUACCCUACAACCCAGCAAUAGCACUACUAGGAAUUUAUCCAAAGGAUACAAAAGUGCCGAUUCAUAGGGGUACAUGUACCCCCGUGUUUAUAGCAGCACUUUCAACAAUAGCCAAAGUAUGGAAAGAGCCUAAAUGUCCAUCAACUGAUGAAUGGAUAAAGAAGAUGUGGUUUAUAUCUACAAUGGAAUACUAUGUGGCAAUGAGAAAGAAUGAAAUUUUGUAGCAACGUGGAUGGAACUGGAGGCUAUUAUGCUAAGUGAGAUAAGUCAGUCAGAGAACACAUAUAUCAUGUUUUCACUCAUAUGUGGAACUUGAGAAACUUAACAGAAGACCAUGGAGGAAGGGAAGGAGAAAAAACAGUUACAGAGAGGGAGGGAGGCAAACCAUAAGAGACUCUUAAAUACGGAGAACAAAUGUCCCUAUGUUAAUUUGAUUGUCUAAAAAGAGCCUAUUUUCAAAUAAAUACAUUCAUAAGUACUGAAAGUUAGGACUUCAACAUCUUUUGGGGAAACAUAAUCCAACCAAGAUGUAUUAUUGCUUAUUUAUAGU
Long non-coding RNA from Neofelis nebulosa (Clouded leopard), 2446 nucleotides. RefSeq lists it as uncharacterized. NCBI's taxonomy places the organism in Eukaryota, Metazoa, Chordata, Mammalia, Carnivora, Felidae. The transcript is spliced from 4 exons. The record is from RefSeq and is a predicted model, not a curated record.